UUCUUACAUAUGCAUAUCAAGUUAGACUACACAUGUUAUUUUAACUCCUUAAAAAAAGAAGUUAAUGAUUUUAAAAUAAAUGAUGGAUUAUCUAAAUUAAAGAUCCAACCUAAUGAACAUGACCUACACUACAACAAGUGCCUAGAAACCAAAAUUAUUUGGUAGUCUCUAACCUAGCAUCAAGUUGGUACAAAAAUGAAUGGUAUCAAUUGUGCUAGUAUUGCAAAAUACAUGAUAGGGCACAUAACAUAAAAACCCACAUUAUGGAUCAUGAUCUACAAAUCUGAGAACAUGGGUAGAUUUAAAUUCACUAGGUUUUGAUGAUUAAAUCAUAAUAAAGCACAAUAUCAUGCAAGUAAAAUCACCCAUUUAGACACGUACUUGAUGGUUCUGUUAGAGACCAUGAAAAACCAUGAAUUUUGGUUUCUAGGCAUAUUUUAGUGUAGACCAUGUUCAACAGUUUGGAUCUUGAAACAAAUACUAAAUGAUUGAUUUUUAACCAGUAACUCCUUUUAUAAAGAGUUAAGGUGUGGAAUCCACCUCUAUGCAUAUUUGACAAUCUGCAAUACUGAUGUCCAAAUAAUGGACCCAGUAUUUCCAAGAAACCACAUAUGCUCAAUGCCAAAAACCCUAUGCAAAAAAAAAAUCUUGAAAAUAUAAGACUUCACGAUGUGUAUAGCUUUUCCCCCCAAAACCUGGAUACUAAUUACCCAAAUUAUGGGCCAAAUAUUUUCAAGAAAAAAAGCUCUCUGCCUGACUCCUCUUCUCCCUUGUGCGCAUCCAUCAUUACCAAUUCAAGGCAGCCUUUUCCUCCAAUCUAGGAUUUCCCAGUUUUCCCUCGAAAGAAGAAAGACUACCACGAUCAACAUGAAUUAGGUUUAAUGCCUUUCUUCCCACCCAAGAGCAACCAUAAUGAGAAAAUCCUACAUAAAGAUUAGUGUUCUGUCAAAGGCAGGGCAACAACUUGACUUCCCAAGCUAAUAUCUAGGAAGGUGUCUAGGUACCUAAUAACUGCGUGGUGCUCUAGUUGUCACAUUUAUUCUUUAUGUAUUGUUUGUUGUUUUUCAGAAAAACUACAAAUAUAUUCUCCUUUAUUGAUAGAUAUGCUUUCCACAGCCUGGAGAAUAUAACUUAAAUAGUUGGUGACCUUGUUUCUGAUACACUUUCCACAAACUCAAUAUAUGUUUGUAAUUAUUUAAAUCUAUCUAGAAGUGAGGUUUAAGUUGCAAUAUCUGUAUAUAGAUUUAAUAAAUUAUCAGCCAAUUUUUAAUUUAGCAUCCUACUUAGGCCUUUGAAAGGUUACUGUCAAGGAUCUCCUAGACAGAUAAAAUCAUCACUCAGUAUCUAGCGCUUCACACUACAAAUUUAAUGUUAGACAAUAAACAGAGAGCACAAGCAUAUCAAAAUAAGGAUAUACAAACUGUGUAGGCUCUAAAGGUUUCAUAGCCUAAGACCAGAGUAGCCAGUCUGACAACAUUGAUCAUUAGACUGGCCCCUCAUGUUGUACGGAUCAAAAUGUUAGGCAAUGAAUAAGGUGAUCUAACAUCAGCUAGAAAUGGUCUUGAUAAAGAGACGUACAGGAUGGAUGUCAACAUGCCAUGACAAGUAAAACAAACAUGCUUCCUGAUUAGAAAUUUAGGUGUUGGAUAUAGAUAAUCGUGAAAUAAGACCUCUGAAGCAAGCCAUAAAGAUGGUACCAGCCCUGUUUCAUGUUAUAUCAAGUAGGGAGAGAACCUUGGCCAUUAAACACCAAGUUAAAAAUAAUAUAUGAGCAACAUGAACAUAAUCAAUAAUGCUUGUCUCGUAAUACAUUAGUCCCAGCUUUGUAGAUUAAAAUAGUUUCCAAAUUGUAGGUGUGCAAUCCUUUUAUCGAUAUUCUCAUCCAAGUCUUCUUUAGCCAACUCUAUAUUCACCAGUUGCCUAAGCACUACAUGGUUAACAAUUUAGUAAUCCAGCAGGCUGUGUUACCUGACAAAAAGCAAGCUAGAGAAGAUUUUGUUGUCCAUGUUGUGUGUAUAUAUAUAUAUACCAAGACUAAGUUUACACCUUUGUGAUCAACAAUAUACCAACAAAAUAACUUCAAAAGUUUUAAAGAGCUAAAUUUCAUGAACAAGCAAGCAUAGUGCAGAAAAGGUUUAAUGGGCACCAAAAAUAAUACAGUGCUAGUGCAUAUCCUGAAUUUUGAGGUUGAUGAUCAACUGGAAUUCUGAUAGCAGGUUCAGCACUACACCUAUGCAAACCUUCACCACUGUCCACAGUGUAAAAGAAUUAAAGUUUGACAUCUAUAUUAGGGUUGCAAAGCCAUAUAUCAAUGCAGCUCUAAUAUUUGCAAGUGAAAUUGUGAUGAUUCUAUUGAUUUCAUAGAACAUUCAAUAUAGAACCAAUAGUAGAUGGAAAACACCCACAAUUCUAGCAAUAUGCCGUAGAUACAAAAGGCAAGAUCCAUCACAAUUUGUCUUCACACUAGUGGGAAUAAGGAUGUCCAUGAAAUAUACAUGUAGCUCAAGGAUAAGAAGAUAUUUUACAGUCAUCUAUCCUAAACCUCGUACAUAUUUUAAUUAUAAAUGCAGAUGAACAUCUGAACCAACAAAAGAAGUAAGACUGCAAGUUCUCUUCCUCCUAAAUCCCAAAUUUGUAAUGAGUAUCAUAGUCCCAACAACCACCUUUCUGAUCCUCCUUAUUUUGACCCAUUAUAUUUAUAAUAUAUUAAAUUGACAAGAAAGAGAAAGCUCUCCUCUCUCCAAAAAUCAGAAAAAUUGUGAAGAAAAUCAAAGAAAAAGCAGCCAAGUUGACUGCCAAGUGGUGCACGAUGUAUCCAAGCUUUGAUACAACAAAGGAGAGUAAUAAAUUAUUUACAAUAUUAAAUUAAAUGCAAGCUUUAAACCUAUGUGGUGCACGAUGUAUCC
RNAcentral lists this long non-coding RNA (2906 nucleotides) under Phoenix dactylifera (date palm). RNAcentral's name for it is "long non-coding RNA (PDAC_LNC010671)". The record is from RNAcentral. Lineage: Eukaryota; Viridiplantae; Streptophyta; Magnoliopsida; Arecales; Arecaceae.